RNAcentral lists this ribosomal RNA (1451 nucleotides) under Austroargiolestes chrysoides. RNAcentral's name for it is "eukaryotic LSU rRNA". It matches the Rfam family "Eukaryotic large subunit ribosomal RNA", at positions 1 to 1722 of the family's 3401-position model. The record is from RNAcentral. Lineage: Eukaryota; Metazoa; Arthropoda; Insecta; Odonata; Argiolestidae.
AGGAAGCGAGAAGUCGACGCGCCGACCCCCGCGAGGGGGGCGAGGCGUCCGGCCCUCCGCGAGCGCCCGCGUGGGUGUGGGUUACGGACCCCGUCCGAUCCCGUUCCCACCGCGGGGCUGUCCGCGAUCAUGGAGGUGUCCUCGGACGGCGUCGAAUCACUCAAAGUUCUCCAGUCCGCGACGCAACGGCUUGGAUGGUCCACCCGACCCGUCUUGAAACACGGACCAAGGAGUCUAACAUGCGCGCGAGUCGUUGGGUCGGACACGCUCCGCUAAACCCAUAGGCGCAAUGAAAGUGAAGGCCGCCUUUCCGGCGGCCGAGGGAGGACGGGGCCGUCCGGGCGCUCCGGUGCUCGGCGGUCCCCGCACCCCCGGGGCGUCUGAUCCCUCAUCGCGAGGGGAGGCGCACCCAGAGCGCACACGUUGGGACCCGAAAGAUGGUGAACUAUGCCUGGCCAGGACGAAGUCAGGGGAAACCCUGAUGGAGGUCCGUAGCGAUUCUGACGUGCAAAUCGAUCGUCGGAGCUGGGUAUAGGGGCGAAAGACUAAUCGAACCAUCUAGUAGCUGGUUCCCUCCGAAGUUUCCCUCAGGAUAGCUUGCGCUCGGAGGAGAGUCUCAUCCGGUAAAGCGAAUGAUUAGAGGCCUUGGGGCCGAAACGGCUUCAACCUAUUCUCAAACUUUAAAUGGGUGAGAACUCCGGCUUGCUCGACCGAUCGAAGCCGGAGACGGGGCCGUCCUUCGGGGCGGACCCCCGGGAUCGGAGUGCAUAGUGGGCCACUUUUGGUAAGCAGAACUGGCGCUGUGGGAUGAACCAAACGACGGGUUAAGGCGCCCGAAUCGACGCUCAUGGGAAACCAUGAAAGGUGUUGGUUGCUUAAGACAGCAGGACGGUGGCCAUGGAAGUCGGAAUCCGCUAAGGAGUGUGUAAUAACUCACCUGCCGAAGCAACUAGCCCUGAAAAUGGAUGGCGCUGAAGCGUCGUGCCUAUACCCGGCCGUCGCGGCAGGGCGGACCCGGCCUCGCGUCGGGUGCCGCUUGAUGCGGCGACGAGUAGGAGGGUCGCGGCGGCGCGCGCAGAAGGGUCUGGGCUCGAGCCUGCCUGGAGCCGCCGCCGGUGCAGAUCUUGGUGGUAGUAGCAAAUACUCCAGCGAGGCCCUGGAGGACUGAUGUGGAGAAGGGUUUCGUGUGAACAGCCGUUGCACACGAGUCAGUCGAUCCUAAGCCCUAGGAGAAAUCCGACGCCAACGGCGACGGGAAAAAUUGAGAAAAGAGAAAGAAACCCGUUGAUCGGGCGAAAGGGAAUCCGGUUCCUAUUCCGGAACCCGGCAGCGGAACCGCUGUUUGUCGGGCCCUCACAAGGGGUUCGUCAGGGUAACCUAAAAGGGCCCGGAGACGCCGUCGGGAGCCCCGGAAAGAGUUUUCUUUUCUGCAUGAGCGUUCGAGUUCCCUG